CAAGCUAAUAAGGGUGUACGAUGGAUGCCCUGGUGAAGACUGGCGAUGAAGGGCGUGGCAAUCUGCGAUAAGCCCCGGUGAGGUGAAAGCAACCUUUGACCCGGGGAUUCCCGAAUGGGGCAACCCAUCCAUCGAGAGAUGGAUAUCCUGUCUUAAGGCAGGAGGCUAACCGAGGGAAGUGAACCAUCUCAGUACCUCGAGGAAAAGAAAAAAUUUUGAUUCCCUGAGUAGCGGCGAGCGAAAUGGGAAGAGCCUAAACCGAAUGAUGUUAUAGCAUAGCCGCGUUCAUCAUUCGGGGUUGUAGGACCAGACAUGGAAGUGGCUAUACUUCCAACAUGAUAUAACCUUUUAGGUUAGUUGAAUGAUCUUGAAAGAUCAGCCAUAGAAGGUGAAAGCCCUGUAGACAAAAACUUAAAAGGCAUGUGUCUGGCACCUGAGUACCACGGAGGAACCGAGGAGCUCUGUGGGAAUCCGCCACGACCACGUGGCAAGGCUAAAUACACGUCUUCAACCGAUAGUGAACAAGUACCGUGAGGGAAAGGUGAAAAGAACCCCGGGAGGGGAGUGAAAUAGAACCUGAAAUCGUGCACCUACAAGCAGUCGGAGUCCGUCGGAAGCAGUUCUGGCGGAUGACGGCGUGCCUAUUGAAGAAUGAGCCAGCGAGUUACUAGCGGUAGCGAGGUUAAUCCACAUAAGUGGAGGAGCCGCAGCGAAAGCGAGUGGUGCCAAUAGCGCCCAUUAGUUAUCGUUAGUAGACCCGAAGCCAGGUGAUCUAUCCAUGGGCAGGAUGAGCCCUCCGUAACAGGGGGGGGAGGUCCGAACCGGUGACAGUUGCAAAUGUCUCGGAUGACCUGUGGAUCGGAGUGAAAGGCUAAUCAAACCUGGUUAUUGCUGGUUCUCCCCGAAAUGACUUUAGGGUCAGCCUCGGUUAAUAGAAUUGUGGAGGUAAAGCACUGACUGGGCAAGGUUUGAUUCCAUCAGACCAAGUCCUAUCAAACUCUGAAUUCCGCAAUUUGUUUUCCGGGAGUGAGACUGUGAGGGCUAAGCUUCAUAGUCAAGAGGGAUUCAGCCCAGACCAUCAGUUAAGGCCCCUAAAUCCAGGCUAAGUGUCGAAGGAUGUGGGGUUACAUAGACAACCAGGAGGUUGGCUUAGAAGCAGCCAUCCUUUAAAGAAAGCGUAACAGCUCACUGGUCGAUGUGACCCUGCGCCUAAAAUUCAACGGGGCUCAAGCCUGGUGCCGAAACUAUGGUUCGGUUAGCUUAAUGCUAACCGGAGGUAGGGGAGCAUUCCCAGCGGUUGAAGCCGUUUCGUAAGGAACGGUGGACGUAUGGGAAGAGAGAAUGCUGGCAUGAGUAGCGAAAAUUUCGAUGAGAAUUCGGAACGCCGAAAGUCCAAGGUUUCCUGGGGAAGGUUCGUCCACCCAGGGUUAGGCGGGAGCUAAGUCGAGGCCGAAAGGCGUAGAUGAUGCACAGCCGGUCAAUAUUCCGGCCCUAUCUGAUAUGCGUUAUCACUGAAGGGGGGACGGAGUACAAUAGAACAUCCGGUUUCUGGAUAUACCGGUUUAAUGUGUAAGGUUGAACCUGUGGCAAACCCAUUGGUUCUUAAGACCGAGCACAGAAUACGAGUCUUUCUGCAAGGAAAGGCGAAGUGUUCGAAUUGUACUUCCAAGAAAAUCCUCGUAGGGAGUAUGUCAGGUACCCGUACCGCAAACCGACACAGGUGGACUGGGAGAAUAUCCUAAGGCGCGCGAGUGAGCCCUUGCUAAGGAACUCGGCAAAAUAACCCCGUAACUUCGGGAUAAGGGGUGCCUGAGUAAGAUUGGGUUUAACCAUAAUCUGGUCUGAAAAGGCCGCAGUGAAAUGGAUGCCACGACUGUUUACCAAAAACAUAGGACUCUGCAAACUCGAAAGAGAAUGUAUAGGGUCUGACAAGUGCCCGGUGCCGGAAGGUUACGGAGAGGUGUCAACUGCCGUAAGGCGGUGAAGCACUGAACCUAAGCCCCGGUAAACGGCGGCCGUAACUAUAACGGUCCUAAGGUAGCGAAAUUCCUUGUCGGGUAAGUUCCGACCUGCACGAAUCUUGUAACGAUGGCAUCGCUGUCUCGGCGAGGGGCUCGGCGAAAUUGUGAUACCCGCGAAGACUCGGGUUAACCGCGACAAGACGAAAAGACCCCGGAACCUUUACUAUACUCUGACAUUGGAUUUUAAAAUAUUAUGUGUAGAAUAGGUGGGAGGCUUUGAAGCCCUGACGCCAGUCAGGGUGGAGCCAACAGUGAAAUACCACUCUUAAUAUUUUGAAAUCCUAACCUCGUUCCGUGAAACCGGACCUGGAACAGUGUCAGACGGGUAGUUUGACUGGGGCGGUCGCCUCCUAAACGAUAACGGAGGCGCCCAAAGGUUCCCUCAGGCUGUUUGGCAAUCAGCCGGCGAGUGUAAAGGCACAAGGGAGCUUAACUGUGAGACAGACAUGUCGAGCAGAAGCGAAAGCUGGGCUUAGUGAUCCGGUGGUACUGAGUGGAAAGGCCAUCGCUCAACGGAUAAAAGGUACUCCGGGGAUAACAGGCUGAUCGGGUCCGAGAGUUCACAUCGACGACCCGGUUUGGCACCUCGAUGUCGGCUCAUCGCAUCCUGGGGCUGGAGCAGGUCCCAAGGGUUGGUCUGUUCGCCCAUUAAAGCGGUACGUGAGCUGGGUUCAGAACGUCGUGAGACAGUUCGGUCUCUAUCUGUCGUGGUCGCAGGAGAUUUGAAGGGGCUCUGCCCGUAGUACGAGAGGACCCGGGUGGACGAACCUCUGGUGUCUCAGUUGUUCCACCAGGAGCAAUUGCUGAGUAGCCAUGUUCGGAAGGGAUAAGCGCUGAAAGCAUCUAAGUGCGAAGCCUACCCCAAGAUUAGAUCUCCCUCCUGGUAGCAAUAUCAGGACCAAGACUCCAGGUAGACUACCUGGUUGAUAGGCCUCGAGUGUAAGGCCCGUAAGGGUUUAAGCUGAGAGGUACUAAUAGUCGAGCGGCUUG
This 3011-nucleotide ribosomal RNA is filed under the name candidate division TA06 bacterium ADurb.Bin131. RNAcentral describes it as "bacterial LSU rRNA". It matches the Rfam family "Bacterial large subunit ribosomal RNA". The record is from RNAcentral.